This is a non-coding RNA of Ictidomys tridecemlineatus (thirteen-lined ground squirrel), 2300 nucleotides long. The record is from RefSeq and is a predicted model, not a curated record. Lineage: Eukaryota; Metazoa; Chordata; Mammalia; Rodentia; Sciuridae.
UGAAGUCUGAGCUAGAGUGAGGAUCCAUUUGCAAGGAUCCCGGAGCGCAGGAAGCCUGGGGUGGGGGAGGGGCGCGGAGCGGAGGAGCUGGGUUAACAGAGAAUGGGACGGAGGUCACCCUCGGGGAGAGGGGAGGGCCCUGCUGCCAGCCCGGAGUGUGUGCUGUUUGUGAUCUCAGCACCCAGCCCUCAGCCUGACACAGCAGGGCCUGGAGCUGUUUAUAAGAUAAAUAAUGGAUGCCCCAGGCACCUCAUUAAGACAUCUUUGCUGAGGUGGAUUCCACUGAUGCAUUAAUUAAUAGAAUUAAUGCCUUUUCUAGUUUCCCUGAAGACUAAGUCACAUUUAGUCCCAUUCCCAGAGUGAAGAAGCCCCACACUUUUGUUGCAAGCACUAAAACUCUUUUAUUGCCAAAGUAAUAUAUGCUUGUUUCUAAAUCCCAGCUGUAUAGAUACGUAUCACGGAAAAGGUGAAAUUCUCCUCUCCCCACCCCCCACACCAGGGUGACCACCUAGCAUCCACACUUGCAGACACCUUGCACUUUACCACACACACCUUCCACAGCAACCUUCAUGCUGUACCUGUGUUCUGCAAGUCCUUUCACUCAGCAAUAUGGACGGUUUCCUGCCUGCAAAUACAGGUCUAUUUUAUUCUUCUUAAUAACAGCAUAACACUCCACAAUAAUGAUGACCCAACAAUGUGCAUAACUAUUCCUCUUUGGGUGGACACUUGCCCUUGAAUCAGAGACCAUCCUCAGUCCCCUGGCACCCAGCAUCUGUCAUCCAGUCCAUUCCGUGCUCCUGCACUUCCUGCUCUGCCCCCGCCCCUCAGGCUCCUGAGGUGAGUGCCACCUAGGGCGCUUCCUUCCCUUGACAUGGUACUCAGGUGCCCCAAGGGAGGGACGAUCAUUCUGUGCCAACCACCAGCAAGGUGGCCCCGAUACUUACCUGCCCUGGUCCAGCCCCUAAUCUCCUACCCAGUGUCUUGAAGCCCAGUGUGUGUCUCCCAGAAAACCUGACCUGGGCUGGUGCUGAGGAACAGACACGAAUGUGGGGGUCCUCUGGGAACAACACCUAGGAGCCACCAAGAGCAGCAGGACUGGCCAGGGAGAAGUGCCCAGUGACUCAGGCAGAGCCACGCGCCAGUGAGCCGGAGCCAGAACUGCGGGCUUGGCUGGAAGGAGUGUCUGCUUGGACCAAGCCCUGUGUGUGCACUCGUGUCGGGGAUGCCGUGUGUGAGCGGGGUGGGUGUCUGACUCCAUGCAUCUAGCUGCACUCCCUCCCUGCCUGGCAAGGCACCAAGCCACCCACGCCCAGGUCAGUGUGGUCCACGGACCCACAGGUGAGCCUCGGGGCUGGCUUUUAAGAGACCAGCCUGGAAGCUAGAGGUGGCAGUCACCUGUGUUUCUGUCACCUGCUUUGGGGGCCGGACUGUCCCUCCUCCUCUGGGUUGGUGGGGCAGAGGGGAGGCUGGGAGUUCCCUGUGGUCCCCAAAGUGGCGAGGCUUCCACUUGGGAGGCUCACCUUGGGGCAGGGCUAUACCUGAGUGUCCCCAUCCUUGCUUCUGGGUGAGGACCUCUCCCAGGGGGCAACUGUGAGCCCUGCUCCAGAGGGCCCAGGGAAGAGGGAGCCCAGCCCUCUCCAAAGGCAGUGGGGGUCGGGGACAGGACCCAGAGCUGUUGCCCCCUAUGAGUAAGGGCCUGGCAGCUCUUUGAAGAGGCACUGAGCAGAGCACCUGGGGAGUGGGGAAGGAGGACAGGGCAGUGGAGGGACAGUGAACCCUCAGCUGGGAAAGCCACGAGAACCUCCAGAGGCCAAGCAGCAACCUCAGGGCUGCCCAGAGGGGCUGAGGCCCAGGCACCCCACAAGUUGACCCCUGCACUCCUCCCUGUGGCCCCAGGCUCCUGUGCCCAAGGGGCCUCUGCUUCCACGGGGACCCACAGAGGGGCCGAGGGCAGACGGAAUGUCGGAGGCCCUGAGCAGGUCAUCUGAACUGUCGAGUUGACUGGACCACGAGGCUUCUGGGUGUGAGUUCUUGACUGCGGCUGCCACCGCCUGAGGAUACCGGACUCUGACUUCUUCACUCUCCUGAGGCGAGAGUCACUCUGCAGCGAUUCUCCAGGGAGCUCCCAGAGGCCUUGGGACUCAGAGGAGGCUCGCACCCUUGAUCCCUCUGGUUCUGAGGCUUCAGCGUCUUGGGCUGAGCAGCUGCUGUUCCUCCAGCUCUACAGCCCCCGGAUGAUAACCUGGGCGCUGUCCAGCCUCUGGUUACGAAGCCAACCCAGUAAAUCCCCUUGAUCACCA